This is a long non-coding RNA of Leopardus geoffroyi (Geoffroy's cat), 530 nucleotides long. RefSeq lists it as uncharacterized. Lineage: Eukaryota; Metazoa; Chordata; Mammalia; Carnivora; Felidae. The transcript is spliced from 5 exons. The record is from RefSeq and is a predicted model, not a curated record.
GUCAUCGAUUGGAAGAAAUAUUGAACUUACUUAUUUCUGUAAGACAGAACUAAGAUGGAUGGAUGGAGGCUUCAUGAAGGCAAUUUGGGUUCCAUGUGAGGAAGAAAUAUUCAACCACAACUUUUAAAAUAGAAAGGGCUGUCUUAUCAGUCCUUCCGGAAAAAAACUACAGCCUGCUGGGUCAUUAAGAAAAGGUGCUGGUAUGGCAGAUAAUUGGUACUCAUAUUGUCGUUUGUUCCAAGACCAAGGCAGAUACAGCAAGGAGUUUACAAAGAAACUGCCCUAUGGAUUGGGAGUGAGGAAAGGAAUAGGAGAGUGUUUUCACCUACGAAGAAAUAAAGGAAACAACCACUUCAAAUUUAUCCUAUUCUACCAUGAAGACUACUUGUGGGAAGAGAGGAAAAUACUUUUUGCCUCCUGCAAAACAAAGUCCAUCUGAUGGAAGUGUGGGUAAGUAAUAAAUUGAAGAACAUCAAGAUAAGAGGCAAGUACACCAGUUUCAGGAGGUGUGUGUAAAAGUCUCCAGCUAA